Molecule: long non-coding RNA, 6307 nt
Organism: Corvus hawaiiensis (hawaiian crow)
Lineage: Eukaryota; Metazoa; Chordata; Aves; Passeriformes; Corvidae
Exons: 6
Source: RefSeq, a predicted model, not a curated record
GUUCCCUGGGAGGGUGGGGAGGCCCUGGCACAGGGUGCCCGGAGCAGCUGUGCCAUGGAGAGGUUUCUGCUGCAUCACAAGUGUUGAAGCUCGGAUUCAAGCCUGUCACGUUUUAAGACAGCACAGGAUUGUUUUCAUGGCAAUCUGGGAUACAGGGAUAUUCUAGGUACCACCCACCCCAUGGAUGGUUACAUCAGCAGAAGAGUGCUGCAUCCUUGUGUUGUUUAACUGAUAUCUGUGUCUUCCUUUUAAUCACACUGUAAUUUCAUUUUCCCCCCUAAUUUUGGCUCUGCCAAGUUCUUCUGCUUCCCUCUGAAGCCAGGGGUCUCAGCCUUCUGUUGCUGUAGUAAGAAAACAGCAUCUGGUUUUUCCUUCUGGCUUUGAAUAUUCUGCUGGUUGUAUUGGAAGCACCUUGCUUUGGAAUCAUCUCAUCAUUCCAUUCCCCUUCACAGCCCACCUGUUCUAGAAGGUGGCAUAAAAAAGCGACAUUUUGCUUUGUCUGAACUGUUCAGAUGGUGCCAUGUGAGUAGAUAUUCCACACCUCAAACAAGAUCCCUCCCUGUAGAAAAAGUCUCCGUCAGCUUCAACAAACAUGGUGUCCUCACAUCAGUGAUGUUUAGAGAUCUGCUCCCUUCAGGGAGGGAUUCAGUGGGAAAAAGAGCUUUGGCAUACCUUAAGCAACAGAUUUUUGCACACUGGUAUUUCUUGGUGCAGUUAGCCUUGCUUUGUGUCUGCAAAAAUGAUCAACAGUGGGGUCCCAGAGUUUUUAUAGCACAAUUUUGGCUUUACUAAAAAUGAUUUUGCUGAUAUCAAACCAUCAGUACCAAGGUAAAUGUUACUGGUCUGUACCAGCAGUGUGUGCCAGCGGAGAAAUGAGAAAUGCUCCUUUAAGCUUCCACUGUCAGCUGCUUUUCUCUGCCAAACUCUGAAUUGCUCCACCUUCAAGCCCUUCUCUGUAAUUACUUCCCAUGUAAGAUUUUUUUCAUCUUCCUUGUGAAAUUUAAAAUGAACUCUAAAACUUUUAAUCUUGAUUUCUUUCACUGCCUCCCAAUGCUAGAGUCCUUUGAUACUGGGGCUCUGUGCUUCAGUCCUUUGAAAUGGCUUUGCCUCAGUAACAUGGAUUUGGAGUAAAAUAAAAUAGUUCUUUGUGUUUGAGGGCUGGCAGCCCAGCAUAAAGAUAUUUCAGAUUUUUCAGUGUAUAUUUCAACCUAUUCCUGCUGUUUCUACAAUACAAUCUGGUAAGAGCCACCAAAAAAACCCUGCUGAGCUUUAGGAUGUGAAUAUGCAGAAAAUGAGUCAGUUCUACCACAGUGUCAGCAAACAGCUUCAUCUUGACUGUGAACAGUUUUGUCCAGGGCCAGAGUUCUGGGAAUCAGGCUGAUCUGCAUUGCUGGGGAAGAUUCCUGCUGCUCUCCAGUGAUUUCCAAGCGCAGUCAAGCUCUGCAGGCACUCCCAGCCCCCACAGUGCCACGUAGGAGCUCCUCCAGCGGUGGGAUGGGGACUGGGAAGGGGGAGCCAAACUGGGAGUUGCCGUCUUCCGUCUUCCCUGCUCUGUAAUGAGCGGUUCCAGCUGCCAAAGGGACACAUCCACUCCUCCAGCCCAGCUCCUCCCCUCCAAACCGCACUUGCGCAGGGCAAAACCCGAGUUUCUUUUGUCUGGAGUUAUUUCCAGCAUGGGUUGACUCCGUGGGUUUAGGGCAGUGCAGAUCCACUGAGCCUUAAAUUAAAAGCCACCCAAAGUUUUUGUGAGAUGGGUGUGAUCCUACAGCCCCCACGACAGAGCAGAGGGAGAUUUCCAGGCUGUUGUUGCAGAGCUUGGGACAGGUGUGGAGAAGCUGCUGGGAUGGAAAGCAGUGAAAUCCAACUGUACCCAGAGUCCAGUUCUGUGGGAAACAAUCCAUGCUCAGCCAUGAAACAUCCAGGUGUGGUGGAGGAGGAAAAGGAAGAGGAGAAGACCUGAUUGCCAUGGAGGCAGCAAAUUCCCCAUCCGUGGCAUCACCCAGCCUGUGGGAGCACAAUCGAUGCCAUUCUCCAGUGUGGAUGCCCGAAUUGUGCUUCCCACUCUGAGAAGAGAUCCAGGAGCUGCCUCUCUGCGCCUCCAGGCAGCACAGUCCAAGCUCCUGGCCCAGCACUCAGCACACUGAACAUCUCCUGCAUGUCCCUGGAUCUGUCAGGCUGUUCCCAAUGCUGGAGGAGGCAUCAGAGCUGCUGAAUUUGGCUUUGCAUAGAAGAAUACUUGGAUCUGCUGGAGGCAAGUUCAUCAAAUGCGGGAUGCAUAAUGAAUCCACUCUGGGCUCUGUCACUGAUUCACCACGUGCUGUGAAUCCAGCAAUUCACCACUGCCUGAAGCCUUCCUGACUUCCCUGGCAUUUGCAGGAAGGUCCAUGGUCACCCCUUGGAAGCAGCUUUCCAAGAUCUCAUUCCAGGUUCUGCACCUUGAGAAAUUGAGCUGUGCCCCUGAGGCUACCCUGGACCUACUAAAUCCCACAGGGUUGGACCCCUUUCUGUGGAUUGGAGGUCUCUGGGAGAACCAUCCACCUCAUCUCUGGCAAGCAGAUCCAGGUUCCUCCACAGUUUUCCAGCAGGAUUUGCAGUGGGUGGUCACAGACUCGAGAGCUUGGCAGCUUUCUCAGUGGUGCUGUUUGCUGCAGAAACCACAUAUUUUUAUCCUUGUAUGGAAUCAUCACGUCCUGAUGAAAUCCAGCAUUUGUGCAGCCAGGAUAACUUUGCAAGUGCCACCACCCUUUGCAGCUGCCAAGACACCAGCCCUGGCUUUCCCCAUCCUCUUCCUCAGCUCUUCAAAUGCUUCUUCCUAAACCAGUCCUGAGCCAGCAGAGCUCGUCCUGGAGGACAGCUCCUAAUCCAUUUUUCCCAUACUGGGCAUCAGCUCCCACACCAGGAUCACCUUAUCUCUGUAGAUCCCUGUCCAGAGGGUCCUUGGCUGCCCCAGCUUGCCCUGCCUGCCCCACCCUGCUGAUGCAUCUGCAGUCCUCCCUGCUGUGUCCCAGAGGCACAGGGGAGGCCGAGUGGAGCCCUUCCCUUCUCCCACCACCCUGUCUUGGAGCUCGUGGGAAGCUCAGUGCUCCUGGGAGGUUGGGAUGAGUCAGUGUUUGCAUGUCCUGAGUCACUCCAGGGAGUUGCCAGGGAGGAGGGGGGGUGCCCAUCCUCAUCUGGGGGUGUACACAUCCCAGGAGGAUCUGUCUGAAAGAAAAUUCCUAUUGACAGGUCAGCACCUUUAGGGUUGCUUCCAGCAGGGCCAGCACCACGGACCAGAAGUGUCACUCCAUGAGAAAAAGGUAUUUCCUGACCCUCCUUCCAUGUGAAUCCUUUCAGAUGGCCCCCAGCUGAUCAUCUGGAGGGGUGCCACAUCCCCAACCCAUGGCUGUCCUUGGAAACUUCCUGAGAUAUGCCAAGGGGUUCCUCUUGGCAGCUCCAUCACGGCAAGUUUGGGGAACCAUGGUAUCCAACAUGCCAUGGAGGAAUGCCAGACAAGCCUCAAAGCGGGGCUCUUGGGAUGUCUUUUGAGUAUAAUUAAUUCCCAGUCCUCCUACUGACUGUGGUUUUUAUCACCAUUUUUGGGGUUUUUUUGAGCUAGAAAUGCUCCUGAGCUCAUGUGAUGGCUCAGGAGUCCACCCCUGGUGCUCAAAGCAGAUUUCAGAUUCAAAGGGGAGAGUGGACACCCUUGGUGACACCCCCACAGACACCUGGAUGUCCUCUGCCCCUUGAUGAACGGCCCAGAGGACACCAGAGGGUACUUCAAAUACACACCCAAGCUUUAGAUUUUCACCUCCAUUUCCAGCUUGAAUGGAAUAAAUUCCCAGGUCAAGAAGAGCUGGAAGAACCACCCCAGGAUUUUUUGUUCUCUGAGUCCCUGCCUUUAACAUGAAGUCAAUUUUCUGUGCUUGCUCAGAGCAGAGGCUGAGCAGGGAGUGAGGCCAGAAAAACGGGGGGUCAUGUCAGACUUUCUUUUUUUCUCCUCUUAACACUGCAAUAAAAAUACAUCCCAAGCUUGUUUUGGGAUUAACAAGAAAAAAUUCCUCUUGAUGGGAACCAUCUGUGGCCAGGAGAUGCCGGCUGCUCUCUGCGUCCCACCCUCACACAGAUGCUGUCAUUUGGGGUGUGUUCCUCUCCCAAAUAUUAUUCCUCUCACCCCUGUGCUGGUGGGAGGAAUCCCAACGAUUUAAGGAGGCUUUUCUCCCAGCAUUUCAAGGCAGCAGCAGCUCCUGACACCUAUGUAGGAUAAUAUUUGCUCUCCUCAUUACAGCCCCAGUGCCUGGCACAGCUUGCUGGUGGCUGCUGGGCUCGGAGGGUAAACACUGCAAGUGUCUUUGUUGUGACCUUUCCACCCCAGAUGUCACUGCAGGGUCAAAGCAAACAUCUCGAAGCCUCUUCCACCUGUCCCACAAACCAGGAGGGGAAAUCUGCCCCAAGGAGUGGAGAUUCCCUGGCUGUGCCUCUGCUGUGCUGCUGGAAAUGAGGGGUUUGGUGCUGGUCCCUUUGUGGUGUCGAAGAAUGAGGUGAUUUCUGGGGUGGCCCCUGGCCCCAGCUGAGGUUUGGGGUGUGAAAUGCAACUUCCAGGCUGGCUUGGCAACAGGAAGAUGAAGAGGAGCAUUUGCAGCACCAGAAACUCCAGAGAGAUGCGGAGCAGGGAGAAGCCUCCAAGGCCAGGAAGAGGAGAGGAAGCUCAAGGUGGAGCCAACAGAAGACAGGGCAGGUCUGGCCCUGGGAGGAAAGGCUGGAAGUGUUUCCAUGCAGCUGAGGAGGCUGCCUGGCUGAAAUGCCUCCUCCUGGGAUCAGCUCCUGGCAGGUUGAGCAGGAAGCUGGGAGAAGACGAGCCCAACAGGUUCUGGGCUGUGGAGCCUCCUGGAUGGCAGCACAUCCCUGGCCUGGGAUCCACCCUGUGCCCGAGAGCUGAGCUGAAAUGGGCCCAAACGAGCGCUUUGGAGGCUUUCCCAAGCCUGGUGGGAAGAAGGGUUUUUGUGUGGGCCUUGACAUCUUCAGAGUGAUCCAGGCCUGACUUGGGAGGUGGUUUGGAUUCAUUUGGACAAAGGAUGGCAGGACAUUUAGGCCUUGCUUACCCUGCCCUCCUGCUUGUCCCUCAGGGUGGGGACACCCCAGUUCUUGUACUCCACCAGGACUGAGUUAAUCCUCGCCUCUCUGCAGGAGCCCAGCAGGAGCUGGGUGGAGUGAAGGAUGCUGCUCCCUCCUUCCCACCAGUGCCACCAGUGGACUUCACACUCCAGCAGAUGAAGGCACAAUGCUUUCCAUCUUUGAGGCUGGCAAAAUCCAUCCCCCAGACUUGGGCUUGUCCCUGCAGCGGGGGUGCAGCCCACGCUCCCAUCCCAGGAAUGUGGGAUGUUCUGGGGCUGCUCUGCCCAGCCCUGCUCUGCCCACGGGCUGGGAACAGUCCUGGCUGCUCUCAGAAUAUUCCACGAAUCUGUGAGUCUGUGGCUACUUUAAGGUGCUCACCCAAGUGCUGGUGCUCUGCCAGGAGGACUCAUCUUUCCAUGAUCUUUUAUUAAAUCCCUCCUGGGCCAAAUAUACCCCAAAAUGCCACUCUGGCUCUAACAGAGAAGGGUGUUCGUGCACAGUUACUGAUGCUUGGAAAGCUGAAUGCAGGUGCUGUGUCUCACCCAUCAAAAAGCAAUUUACAGAUUACAUUUAUAUAAAAUUAUAUAAAUGGCUGGAACAGCAUAGUGUAGAACAACAUUAUAUUGUAACAGGCAGAAAAUUCCCUGUUGUUUUAUUAGAAAUAGAGGGAAAUGGAUUCACAUAACAUUUUCCAGGGAGGUUUGAAACUCGGGGGGGUUUAAUUUCAGCAGUGUUUGCAUACACACGCUCCAGCCCAGGCAGGCUGAGCUGAGGCUGGGAGGGGUUUUUCACCCCAGGGAAAGCCCCUGUGACAGGGUCACUGAGCAGGGCCCUUCAAACCCUGCAUCUCCACCCCAGAAAACUCCAGGAUAGGAAGGAUCAGAAAACUGAUCUUCCCCUUGGCCUGGCUGAAUAACACAGGCUUUGUUCGGGGAUCCAGGUCAGGGAUUUUAUUUCAGUACCUGCAAAGGAGUUAUGAGAAGAAUGCAGCAGGUUCCUCCUGGCCUGGAGAAAUGCAGAGAUAUCUCCAAAGGUGUUUAACAUUAACUGGAGCAGGGCACAUCUCUGAAGGGUUUGACUGUGAGCCUAUCUGUGUUUGUAUCCAAACACCACCUCCAAAUCCACGCUAACGUUAGCAGAGCUGGAGCAGGUGAAAGUCCUCCUGGAGGGAGCCGGAUCGAUGACGGGUUUGUCAAUAAAGAUCAUCCCGAGCUGG